UACGUAGGGUGCGAGCGUUAAUCGGAAUUACUGGGCGUAAAGCGUGUGUAGGCGGAUCGUUAAGUGUCUUGUGAAAUCCCACGGCUCACCCGUGGAACUGCUGGGCAUACUGGCGAUCUUGGGCCAACUAGGGGCAGUCGGAACAAGCGGUGGAGCGGUGAAAUGCGUAGAUAUCGCUUGGAACGCCGAAGGUGAAAACAGACUGCUGGGGUUGCGCCGACGCUGAGACACGAAAGCCAGGGGAGCAAACGGG
Molecule: ribosomal RNA, 253 nt
Filed under: uncultured bacterium
Lineage: Bacteria
Description: partial 16S ribosomal RNA
Rfam family: Bacterial small subunit ribosomal RNA
Source: RNAcentral